Molecule: ribosomal RNA, 459 nt
Filed under: uncultured bacterium
Lineage: Bacteria
Description: partial 16S ribosomal RNA
Rfam family: Bacterial small subunit ribosomal RNA
Source: RNAcentral
CCUACGGGAGGCUGCAGUGAGGAAUAUUGGUCAAUGGGAGAGAUCCUGAACCAGCCAAGCCGCGUGAGGGAAGACGGCCCUAUGGGUUGUAAACCUCUUUUGUCGGAGAACAAAACCCGGGACGUGUCCCGGACUGCGUGUAUCCGAAGAAAAAGCAUCGGCUAACUCCGUGCCAGCAGCCGCGGUAAUACGGAGGAUGCGAGCGUUAUCCGGUUGGAUUGGGUUUAAAGGGUGCGUAGGCGGUCCGUUAAGUCAGCGGUAAAAUGGCGGGGCUCAAACCCGUCGAGCCGUGGAAACUGGCAGACUUGAGUUGGCGAGAAGUACGCGGAAUGCGCGGUGUAGCGGUGAAAUGCAUAGAUAUCGGGCAGAACUCCGAUUGCGAAGGCAGCGUACCGGCGCCAGACUGACGCUGAGGCACGAAAGCGUGGGGAUCGAACAGGAUUAGAUACCCCGGUAGUC